Long non-coding RNA from Callorhinchus milii (elephant shark), 1088 nucleotides. RefSeq lists it as uncharacterized. The transcript has 4 exons. Lineage: Eukaryota; Metazoa; Chordata; Chondrichthyes; Chimaeriformes; Callorhinchidae. The record is from RefSeq and is a predicted model, not a curated record.
GCUGAAAGUUGUUUUCAAUCAUUCCCAGUCCUGGCAUCCAAGAGGCGAGAAAAAAAAGAUCUGAUCGUCUUAAAUUCAAACUGAAAGGGGAAGGGAGGAGAGACACACACACACACACACGCACAGAGAAGAAAUGUGGCUCAAAGUGAUAAGAAAGAUGGCUGUUUGGAACCAAAGAAGCUCUCCUGGCCUGAGAACUAAGAUUGAUGGCCAGACCUGACCCAUUCACAGCACCGACCAGAGCAAAGGAGAAGAGAGAGACCCAAGCCCUACCAGUGCUUUCAUCCCCUUAAAAAAAAGGACUUCGCACACUGUGACUGUCGAGGUAUUCGAAGGAACAUCAUGCUUACUGUGAAGUAAGCCACUGUGAAGCAGGAAGACGAACACACUCGGGAACUGAGUUCAGCUCAUCAACUCAGGAGUGAUCCAGAUUCAAGAAUUCAAAAUGUCUUGAGAACAUCAUCACACUCGAUCAGAGAUUUUGGUGCAUCUCACCCGGCGCAGAGAAGCAAUCAACACCCUCCUCUCAAUUCCAGAUGUGGGCCAAGUUUCCUUGUUGACAGAACAACUCCCAAGAUCUCAGAAGCUCAGGAAAGGCUUUUAAAGCCCAGUAACUAUCGUUGCCUUUACUGGAAGCAUGCUCAAGACCUAAUAGAAACCUGUCCCUUGUUCCCUAUAGUUGAACAAUUCUGGCUGAGUUAAGAGUGGGUUGGAACAGAGUGGGUUGUACAACAGUUUGGUAAUUGUCAUGACCUGACUAUUAUUACUGAACAUUCUGACUUGAGGCAGCAAGCACAAAUUACCAGGUUACGGAAAAAAUAUUCUUUAUUAGUUUAAGUCAAAAACGAGGUAGCUUAAACAUAUGAACUGCUCGAAACAAUUUACAACAGAAUUUGUGGAAGUCCACUAAUUAUAUAACGCGUAGAAUUAAUUCAGUCUCAACGAUCUCCACAAGCAGUAAGUUAUCUUCUGCAGCAGGAAGCACCCUGUUUAAACAAAAACUCUGGAGCUCAUGUUAAGUGCAAAGAGAGCCUUAAAACUCGACUGGCACCGGCCUCCUGCUCGUCCCUAUCACCCUCCGCCCCACC